RNAcentral lists this ribosomal RNA (443 nucleotides) under uncultured bacterium. Its description in RNAcentral is "partial 16S ribosomal RNA". It matches the Rfam family "Bacterial small subunit ribosomal RNA", at positions 338 to 795 of the family's 1533-position model. The record is from RNAcentral.
CCUACGGGUGGCAGCAGUGGGGAAUAUUGGACAAUGGGGGGAACCCUGAUCCAGCGACGCCGCGUGAGUGAAGAAGUAUUUCGGUAUGUAAAGCUCUAUCAGCAGGGAAGAAAGAAAUGACGGUACCUGACUAAGAAGCCCCGGCUAACUACGUGCCAGCAGCCGCGGUAAUACGUAGGGGGCAAGCGUUAUCCGGAUUUACUGGGUGUAAAGGGAGCGUAGACGGCGAUGCAAGUCUGAAGUGAAAGGCGGGGGCCCAACCCCUGGACUGCUCUGGAAACUAUGUGACUGGAGUGCAGGGGAGGUGAGCGGAAUUCGUAGUGUAGCGGUGAAAUGCGUAGAUAUUAGGAGGAACACCAGUGGCGAAGGCGGCUCACUGGACUGUAACUGACGUUGAGGCUCGAAAGCGUGGGGAGCAAACAGGAUUAGAUACCCUUGUAGUC